Molecule: ribosomal RNA, 479 nt
Filed under: Thalassina squamifera
Lineage: Eukaryota; Metazoa; Arthropoda; Malacostraca; Decapoda; Thalassinidae
Description: partial 16S ribosomal RNA
Rfam family: Archaeal large subunit ribosomal RNA
Source: RNAcentral
CCUGCCCACUGAUUGAUUUAAAGGGCCGCAGUAUACUGACUGUGCGAAGGUAGCAUAAUCAUUAGUCUUUUAAUUGAGGGCUGGUAUGAAUGGUUUGACAAGAGGCAUUCUGUCUCUUUUGUAUUUCUUGAACUUUACUUUCAAGUUAAAAGGCUUGGAUGAUCUAGAGGGACGAUAAGACCCUAUAAAGUUUUAUAUUUUUUCUUUUGAGUUUAAAAGUAUUUGUUUAACUAAGAUUGGAGGGAAGGUAUUUUGUUGGGGCGACAGGAGUAUAAUUAAUUAAUAACUGCUUCUAGAGAGUUUACAGUAAUUUUUGUUAUUUAUUGAUCCUUAAUAGAGAUUAUAAGAUUAAGUUACUUUAGGGAUAACAGCGUAAUUUUUUUUGAGAGUUCUAAUCGAGAAAAAAGUUUGCGACCUCGAUGUUGAAUUAAGGUACCUUUGUAGAGUAGAAAUUAUAAGAGGGGGUCUGUUCGACCUUU